RNAcentral lists this ribosomal RNA (698 nucleotides) under Cantharellula foetida. Its description in RNAcentral is "eukaryotic LSU rRNA". The stretch from base 290 to 443 matches the Rfam family "5.8S ribosomal RNA". Lineage: Eukaryota; Fungi; Basidiomycota; Agaricomycetes; Agaricales; Hygrophoraceae. The record is from RNAcentral.
GAGGAAGUAAAAGUCGUAACAAGGUUUCCGUAGGUGAACCUGCGGAAGGAUCAUUAUUGAAUAAACUUGGUGUGUUGUAGCUGGCUCUUUGGAGCAUGUGCACAUACAUCUUUGUUUCUUUCCACCUGUGCACUCUUUGUAGAUCUGGAUACCUCUCAAGGAAACUUGGUUUGGGAGUUGCUAAUUUCUUUGAACUUGGCUUCUCUUAUAUUUCCGAUCUAUGUUUUUCAUAUACCUCUAGUAUGUCUAGAAUGUUUGUAACAGGCUAUAAUGCCUUUAAAAUGAAUACAACUUUCAACAACGGAUCUCUUGGCUCUCGCAUCGAUGAAGAACGCAGCGAAAUGCGAUAAGUAAUGUGAAUUGCAGAAUUCAGUGAAUCAUCGAAUCUUUGAACGCACCUUGCGCUCCUUGGUAUUCCGAGGAGCAUGCCUGUUUGAGUGUCAUUAAAUUCUCAACCUCUCCAUCUUUUACUAGUUGGUUAGGCUUGGACUGUGGGGGUUGCAGGCUUCUCAAGAAGUCAGCUCUCCUUAAAUGUAUUAGCGGAACUUUUGUGGACCGUCUCUAGUGUGAUAAUUAUCUACGCUAUUGUAUGUGAAACAGCUUGUAAAGUUCAGCUUCUAAUAGUCUAUUAACUUGGACAAUUUAUGACUUUUUGACCUCAAAUCAGGUAGGACUACCCGCUGAACUUAAGCAUAUCA